RNAcentral lists this unclassified non-coding RNA (158 nucleotides) under uncultured fungus. Its description in RNAcentral is "sequence contains ITS1". Lineage: Eukaryota; Fungi. The record is from RNAcentral.
CCGAGUGUGACCCCCCCGUAAAAAGGGGGGUUCCUCCCGUCCUUUGCGGGCCCUUAGGGGCUUUUAGACUUUGCUUCGGCGGGGCUGCCCCGCCGGAACACCCUCAAGAAAAUCUCGAUAAAAUCGUUCAGUCCGAGAAAGGUUGCUAAAUAAAUAAA